RNAcentral lists this ribosomal RNA (305 nucleotides) under uncultured bacterium. RNAcentral describes it as "bacterial SSU rRNA". It matches the Rfam family "Bacterial small subunit ribosomal RNA", at positions 335 to 639 of the family's 1533-position model. The record is from RNAcentral.
GCCCUACGGGGCGCAGCAGUGAGGAAUAUUGGUCAAUGGGCGCGAGCCUGAACCAGCCAAGUCGCGUGAGGGAAGACGGUCCUAUGGAUUGUAAGCCUCUUUUGUCGGGGAGCAAAAGACGCCACGCGUGGCGUUCCGAGAGUACCCGAAGAAAAAGCAUCGGCUAACUCCGUGCCAGCAGCCGCGGUAAUACGGAGGAUGCGAGCGUUAUCCGGAUUUAUUGGGUUUAAAGGGUGCGCAGGCGGAAGAUCAAGUCAGCGGUAAAAUUGAGAGGCUCAACCCCGGCCCGCCGUUGAAACUGGCAG